GUCCAGCCACUCCAAGGAAGGCAUGCUCAGCACCGCGGCGGGGAUGGUCGUGAAGUGGUUCAUGCUCAGAUCAAGAAGCUGUCUAGCUCUGAAGCCCUUCGGUGUAAAAUGAAGCCUUUCCGGGAUGCUGUCUUGCUGGAUCUUAGCACUGUGGGAUUUCUUCCGUCUCUUCAAUGCUGCUUGGCUUCAAAAGGGACAAAGUUCUUAGUUGGGUGUGGUGGCGCACGCCUGUAG
This is a long non-coding RNA of Carlito syrichta (Philippine tarsier), 234 nucleotides long. RefSeq lists it as uncharacterized. NCBI's taxonomy places the organism in Eukaryota, Metazoa, Chordata, Mammalia, Primates, Tarsiidae. The record is from RefSeq and is a predicted model, not a curated record. The transcript is spliced from 3 exons.